CCUACGGGAGGCAGCAGUGGGGAAUCUUGCGCAAUGGGCGAAAGCCUGACGCAGCCAUGCCGCGUGUAUGAUGAAGGUCUUAGGAUUGUAAAAUACUUUCACCGGGGACGAUAAUGACGGUACCCGGAGAAGAAGCCCCGGCUAACUUCGUGCCAGCAGCCGCGGUAAUACGAAGGGGGCUAGCGUUGCUCGGAAUUACUGGGCGUAAAGGGAGCGUAGGCGGACAGUUUAGUCAGAGGUGAAAGCCCAGGGCUCAACCUUGGAAUUGCCUUUGAUACUGACUGUCUUGAGUGUGGGAGAGGUGAGUGGAACUCCGAGUGUAGAGGUGAAAUUCGUAGAUAUUCGGAAGAACACCAGUGGCGAAGGCGACUCACUGGCCCAUUACUGACGCUGAGGCUCGAAAGCGUGGGGAGCAAACAGGAUUAGAUACCCUGGUAGUCCACGCCGUAAACGAUGAGUGCUAGUUGUCGGCAUGCAUGCAUGUCGGUGACGCAGCUACGCAUAAGACACUCCGCCGUCGGGGAGGUACGGUCGCGAAGAAUUAAAACGUUAAAACGGUAAAGUUAGACGGCGUGAGACGUCGCCGACGGACGACGACGAGGGAGGUUAGG
Molecule: ribosomal RNA, 611 nt
Filed under: uncultured bacterium
Lineage: Bacteria
Description: bacterial SSU rRNA
Rfam family: Bacterial small subunit ribosomal RNA (bases 1-516)
Source: RNAcentral